Molecule: ribosomal RNA, 480 nt
Filed under: uncultured Sphingobacterium sp.
Lineage: Bacteria; Pseudomonadati; Bacteroidota; Sphingobacteriia; Sphingobacteriales; Sphingobacteriaceae
Description: bacterial SSU rRNA
Rfam family: Bacterial small subunit ribosomal RNA
Source: RNAcentral
CUGCCCUAUGGGUUGUAAACUGCUUUUGUCAGGGAAUAAACCUUUCUACGUGUANGAAGCUGAAUGUACCUGANGAAUAAGGAUCGGCUAACUCCGUGCCAGCNGCCGCGGUAAUACGGAGGAUCCAAGCGUUAUCCGGAUUUAUUGGGUUUAAAGGGUGCGUAGGCGGUCCUAUAAGUCANUGGUGAAAGACGGCAGCUUAACUGUCGCAGUGCCUUUGAUACUGUAGGACUUGAAUCUAUUUGAAGUGGGCGGAAUAAGACAAGUAGCGGUGAAAUGCAUAGAUAUGUCUUAGAACUCCGAUUGCGAAGGCAGCUCACUAAGUUAGUAUUGACGCUGAUGCACGAAAGCGUGGGGAUCAAACAGGAUUAGAUACCCUGGUAGUCCACGCCCUAAACGAUGAUAACUCGAUGUUUGCGAUACACAGUAAGCGUCCAAGCGAAAGCGUUAAGUUAUCCACCUGGGGAGUACGGUCGCAAG